GGUAAUGUUUUAACCACCAUAAGGAACCUGGACAACAAGAUGAAUCCAUUCCACAAGCAAGCAAGCAUUUCAGGACGGAGCGUGUGUCUGGAAGCCCUGUCCGUCAGCAGAUGUUAUUGCCUCCACCACCUGCAU
Molecule: long non-coding RNA, 135 nt
Organism: Sander lucioperca (pikeperch)
Lineage: Eukaryota; Metazoa; Chordata; Actinopteri; Perciformes; Percidae
Exons: 3
Source: RefSeq, a predicted model, not a curated record